GCUUCUUUCUGUCCUGUGUUUCAGUGGGAAGGCAGGGCUGCCUGAGGUUUUGGUGGGCUCAGGCAGCUUGUCCUGGAUUUCUGUAGGAAGAAGCUAGAGAGGAUCUCAUCUCCUUACAUCACAGCUAUGUAAAUACAGAAAAGCCAUCUUGACUCUUGUCCCUGACCUCCCAGGGGCCCUCUGUGCUCCCAAAAGCAGCACUUCCAGACUGUGGUAGAUGGGCUCAUUGAGAGGAGUAUGUCAGAAAGCCAGGAGAAACAAUUCCCCUUCCAAGUGCCCUGCUGCACUGCUAAAUCCUGCUGGAGACUCUGAUGCUCCUGCUCUGAGACACUGGAGCUGCUCUUGUGUAAGGAUACACAGGGUACCCACAAACCUGGAGUUACAGUGCCACUCCAACAGUGUGUGCUGGGAUCUUGCCUUUAAAGGGCAGAAAAUGCAUUUUCAGAAAAAAACUUUUCCCCCCUCCCCAUAUAUUUUUACAUUUGCACAUGAUCAGGGCUUUGUUCUCAAUUUCAGUUAUUGAGGAUUCUUGCAGCCCUUGUUAGGACUUUGCUUCUGGGACUUUGUUUGUUUUUAACUUUUCCAUGUAUGGAAAAGACAAGCAGAAAACUUAAGUAAAGCACAAAGGUGGAAAAGGGACCAAAGAAGUAAAGCUGAUGCAUCAUGUGGUGACAUAGGUGACUCUCUAAGGCAAAAGGGAAAGGUUUUGCAAUAUCUCCUGAGCCUCAAGCAGCCUUUUGCAUAAGUUGUGUGGCUGUUUUCUCAAUCUGCUCUGAAAAUGUCUAUUCAGAACUCCCCAAGAGUGGUAUUUUUCAAAAUACCAUAAAAAGGUGGGUGCUAAAGGCACAGCAGAGCUCAAGAACAGUGCCCAUCAUAAAAAUCAUAUCUCCUCCAGAAAAACUGCCUUUCUCCUUAGAAGCUCACUAGACUGCAACAUACUUCAGUUUUCAAUGAGCCUGAAACUUUGUCAGCAACUUGUUUUGUGGGAAUUGUGCUUUAAAAAUGCUGUCAGAGGUUGGAUUUUCAUUUGAGAGAAUAAAAUAUUUGGGGCUGUUUGAGUUGGUGCUGCCCUCCAGAUGGGACACACUAAGAGGCUGACUUAAAGGAGAUACUCUUUUCUAGGGUGUUAAACUUUGAGAAAUAACCUGUUGACAAAAUGAAUUGAUCUUUGAUAUAGAUAAUAAAUUGCUGGGGGAAGCACUGAGGCCAUGGCUGGAUGUCCUCGUGGUAACAGAAGGCUGGAGAUGGCCUAGAUUUUAAGAAUUAGUUAAGGAAGACUAAAUUGAAGAGUACCAAGAGAAGACAGUUUGCCAAUGGUACAGAGUUAUUUGGGGUAAUAAAAUCAGGCUGGUUUGUAGGAAGACCUUGAAUUGCUGAUUGAAUGCAUGAUCUAAUGAGUGAUACAUUUUAUACAGAUAAAAAUCAGGCAAUGCAUACAGAAAAAAUCCCUCAUCCUUCUGUAAUAACAGGCCCUGAGUUGACUACUCAGAAAACAUCGUGGGUGUGUGGUAAAAUAUCAAUGUAGUGUUCAGCAGUAUUUGCCUCCUAAAAGUAAAUUGUAUCUUAGAGAUUAUAAGGAAAUCGUUACGAAGUUGUGCUAUUGUUUACACCCCAAAUUGAUCCAUAUUUAUGUGCAAUUCCUAGUGUACUGUAAAAUUUAGUGAGAACUGGAAAAGCUAUGGAAGAACAGCAAGAUUAACAAAGGAAUGAAGUGGCUGCUGGGGGCAGAGCAUCUGAGUGGAAGGGACUGUGUUCUGGCAGAAGGAGUAAGGUGAAGGGGAUGUGAAGUGCUGUAAUAUCAGCAGUUGAAUGGAGAAGGGGAGCACGAAAUGCUUACUCAGAGUUUGAAGCAAUUACUCAGGGUUUCUUCCAGUGCAGGAUCUCCAUAUAAGGUGGAAUUUUCCAGAGGUAGGAGUGGCACAAGCAGGAGGUGCUGCUGACUGUCCCACCUCAGAUCACCAUGCCAUUGGUAAUGCUUCCUGCCCAGUCAUGGAAAUGUGAAGAAGAAAUGAGCCAUCAGCCUUGUAUAGGACUGAAGAAGAGCAGGAUCACAGCUGUAGGAAGAACUGUGGAUGGCACCAGCAAUAAAAAGAACAUCCUUUCCCCUUCCCUGCAAGUGAUGCCCCAGUCAAUCUGCAGCUGCUCUGAGGCAAAGCUUGUAGCCUGAUUUUCCUGCUGGAUUGUUACUGAAAGAAGUCCAGAGGAAGGAGAGUGCUGUAUGGAGAGCAUCUGUACCACUGCUUUUCACAGCAAGGGGCUGUGCAGGUUUGGGCUGUGGCUCAAGGAUGUAACCUGCCCUCAGUUUUCCAGUCUUGUGGCACAGCGAAGUCUCCCUGGGAGGAGGUGGGUCACUGUGGGUGUUGGGAGUUCCCUGCUUUCAGCAGCACCUUCCCACGACUGCCUGCUCAGAGGUUUGGGGUUUUUCUUUGUAACCUCUACACACAGCAAGAAUAAUAACACCAAAGCAGCCACGUGAAAAACCACUUGAGAAGAGACCUGCUGCUGUGGCACUGCCAGCACAGGUCACAGCUGGAGCCCUGUCCAUGGUUAGGGAUGCUUAGGGAGCAGGUGAAGCAUGGAAAGGGACUCACCAGGGGCUGCCAGCCAUAGGAGCAACCUCCAAAUGGAAUUGGCCCUUGCCUGCCUUCCCCAGUCCUUGCCUCACCACAGAGCAGAAUCUUCCCCGGCCCCUCCUACGCAGGGCUCCCCUGUGAGGUUCUUUGAGGGUGGCUCCGCGUUUCUGCCAUGACUUUUCUUCGCGGAAUUUUUUUUUUUUUUUUUUUUUUUACGUGGGGCAGAGCGAACUUUGGCAUGUGUUCAAGAGAAUAAUAAAGAUAAGAAUGAGCAGUGCCUUUGAACAGCAAGGAGACAAGAUUUAAAAGCUAUUGACUGUAGUUCAGCAGUGUGCUGAUACAGAUUGGGCUGUUAUUUACAAUCAGGUCUGUGUUUUCUUUUCAGUAAUGAGGAACAAUAAGGGCUGCUCCAUUUGUGGGGCUUCUUGUGGUUUCUUUUUUAAGGCACCAAGACUCUGGAAUGCUGACAGAGAAUCUAAUAAUAAUAAAGGCCAAAAUACAUGAUGUUUUAGGCCAGACUUCUGGCUAUUGGCUGUGUCUUGGGGUUUGUUUAGAUGUUUUAGGAGGCAUUGGCUUUGAGACAGACAUUUUUUAAUAAAAACAAAAGUUGUA
This is a long non-coding RNA of Melospiza melodia melodia, 3185 nucleotides long. RefSeq lists it as uncharacterized. NCBI's taxonomy places the organism in Eukaryota, Metazoa, Chordata, Aves, Passeriformes, Passerellidae. The transcript is spliced from 2 exons. The record is from RefSeq and is a predicted model, not a curated record.